This 469-nucleotide unclassified non-coding RNA is filed under the name Hevea brasiliensis (rubber tree). The record is from RNAcentral. Lineage: Eukaryota; Viridiplantae; Streptophyta; Magnoliopsida; Malpighiales; Euphorbiaceae.
GCGUGUAGAACAUAUCCAGAACAAAACCUGCAAGUGGAGGCGAGUCGACGCUAGACUCAGACUGAGUGAUCUUCAACACAGCUUCUUUGACAUUGGGUUUAUGUCUCUUAAAGAAAGAAGCGAAAUUGGAUAAUUCAGACUCGUCUUUUGGCAAGUCAAUAAAUCGAAGACGAUUAGAUAAAGAGGAGGAGGAAUCUUGCACUGAUUCAAUGUAGUUCUGAAUCUUGGAAUUCAUGAGAGGAAGCUCAAGGAUAAGGACUGUGAUGGAGAGGCGGUGAUCGCGGGAGAAGCUUUGCUACCUCCACAGCAGAUACAAGGUGGCCCAUAAAAGGGAAGGGGACGAACACAAGCUGUGCUUUGUCCAUUUUCCUAAUGAAAUAGUAUAUAUUCUUAAUUUUGCUGCUAAGCUCGCGGUAUUUGCAGAGCUACCUGUGGGUGCCUGGGAGGCUGUAAUGAAAGAGCAGCUUGG